This 907-nucleotide ribosomal RNA is filed under the name uncultured bacterium. Its description in RNAcentral is "bacterial SSU rRNA". It matches the Rfam family "Bacterial small subunit ribosomal RNA", at positions 33 to 932 of the family's 1533-position model. The record is from RNAcentral.
ACGCUGGCGGCAGGCUUAACACAUGCAAGUCGAACGGUAACAGGGAUUAGCUUGCUAAUCUGCUGACGAGUGGCGGACGGGUGAGUAAUGCUUGGGAAUCUGGCUUAUGGAGGGGGAUAACUACGGGAAACUGUAGCUAAUACCGCGUAAAAUCUUCGGAUUAAAGGGUGGGACUUUCGAGCCACCUGCCAUAAGAUGAGCCCAAGUGGGAUUAGGUAGUUGGUUAGGUAAAGGCUGACCAAGCCGACGAUCUCUAGCUGGUCUGAGAGGAUGACCAGCCACACUGGGACUGAGACACGGUCCAGACUCCUACGGGAGGCAGCAGUGGGGAAUAUUGCACAAUGGGGGGAACCCUGAUGCAGCCAUGCCGCGUGAAUGAAGAAGGCCUUCGGGUUGUAAGUUCUUUCGGUGACGAGGAAGGUUGGUAGGUUAAUAGCCUAUCAAAUUGACGUUAAUCACAGAAGAAGCACCGGCUAACUCCGUGCCAGCAGCCGCGGUAAUACGGGGGGUGCGAGCGUUAAUCGGAAUAACUGGGCGUAAAGGGCACGCAGGCGGUGACUUAAGUGAGAUGUGAAAGCCCCGAGCUUAACUUGGGAAUUGCAUUUCAUACUGGGUCGCUAGAGUACUUUAGGGAGGGGUAGAAUUCCACGUGUAGCGGUGAAAUGCGUAGAGAUGUGGAGGAAUGCCGAAGGCGAAGGCAGCCCCUUGGGAAUGUACUGACGCUCAUGUGCGAAAGCGUGGGGAGCAAACAGGAUUAGAUACCCUGGUAGUCCACGCUGUAAACGAUGUCGAUUUGGGGAUUGGGCUUUGAGCUUGGUGCCCGUAGCUAACGUGAUAAAUCGACCGCCUGGGGAGUACGGCCGCAAGGUUAAAACUCAAAUGAAUUGACGGGGGCCCGCACAAGCGG